Molecule: ribosomal RNA, 253 nt
Filed under: uncultured bacterium
Lineage: Bacteria
Description: partial 16S ribosomal RNA
Rfam family: Bacterial small subunit ribosomal RNA
Source: RNAcentral
UACAGAGGUCCCAAGCGUUGUUCGGAUUCACUGGGCGUAAAGGGUGCGUAGGCGGUCUGCUAAGUUUGAUGUGAAAUCCCGGGGCUCAACCCUGGAAUUGCAUUGAAUACUGGUGGACUAGAGUACUGGAGAGGAAACUGGAAUUUACGGUGUAGCAGUGAAAUGCGUAGAGAUCGUAAGGAAGACCAGUGGCGAAGGCGAGUUUCUGGACAGUAACUGACGCUGAGGCACGAAGGCCAGGGGAGCAAACGGG